UUCGAUUAUGGCUCAGAUUGAACGCUGUGGGAUGCUUUACACAUGCAAGUCCGAACGGCAGCACGGACUUCGGUCUGGUGGCGAGUGGCGAACGGGUGAGUAAUGUAUCCGGAACGUGCUGUGAUGCGCAGGGGAUAACUACGCGAAAGCGUAGCUAAUACCGCAUACGCCCUUCGGGGGAAAGCGAAGUACUUCGGGCCUCGCACUAUUAGAAGCGGCCGAUAUCGGAUUAGCUAGUUGGUGGGGUAACGGCUCGCAAGGCGACGAUCCGUAGCUGGUUUGAGAGGACGACCAGCCACACUGGGACUGAGAUUACAGCCCAGACUCCUACGGGAGGCAGCAGUGGGGAAUUUUGGACAAUGGGGAAACCCUGAUCCAGCCAUCCCGCGUGUGCGAUGAAGGCCUUCCGGGUUGUAAAGCACUUUUGGCAGGAAAACUGGCUGGGAUAAUACCCCGUGCAACUGACAGUACCUGCAGAAUAAGCACCGGCUAACUACGUGCCAGCAGCCGCGGUAAUACGUAAGUGCAAGCGUUAAUCGGAAUUACUGGGCGUAAAGCGUGCGCAGGCGGUUCCGGAAAGGAAAGAUGGCGAAAUCCGGAAGCAGCAUUUGGCUACAUUUUUGUACCGAGCUAGAGUGUGUCAGAGGGAGGUGGAAUUCCGCGUGUAGCAGUGGUACGUAGAUAUGCGGAGGAACACCGAUGGCGAAGGCAGCCUCCUGGGAUAACACUGACGCUCAUGCACGAAAGCGUGGGGAGCAAACAGGAUUAGAUACCCUGGUAGUCCACACCGCCCUAAACAAUCAACCAGCUGUUGGGGCGCUGGGGCCUUGGUAUGCAGCUAACCGUGAGAGGAUUGACCGCCUGGGGAGUACGGUCGCAAGAUUAAAACUCAAAGGAAUUGACAGGGACCCGCACAAGCGGUGGAUGAUGUGGAUUAAUUCGAUGCAACGCGAAAAACCUUACCUACCCUUGACAUGUCUGGAAUCCCGAAGAGAUUUGGGAGUGCUCGCAAGGAACAGACACAGGUGCUGCAUGGCUGUCGUCGGGAAACUCGUGUCGUGAGAUGUUGGGUUCAGAUCCGCAAGCAAGCGCAGCCUUGACCAUUGGACUACAGGCGCUCUAAUGAGACGCGAUGACAAACCGGAGGAAGGUGGGGAUGACGUCAAGUCCUCGCAAGGCACUUAUGGGACAGGGCUUCCGCAUCAUGCAAUGGUCGGGACAGAGGGUCGCCAACCUUGAGGGGAGCCAAUCCCAGAAACCCGAUCGUAGUCAGGAUCGCGAUCUGCAACUCGACUGCGUGAAGUCGGAGAGAUCCGCUAGUAAUCGCGGACCAGCAUGUCGCGGUGAAUACGUUCCCGGGUCUUGUACACACCGCCCGUCACCAUGGGAGUGGGUUUUGCAAGUAGUUAGCCCAACCGUGGGAGGGCGAUUGCAGGCAGGAUUCAUGACUGGGGUGAAGUCGUAACAAAGGUAG
Molecule: ribosomal RNA, 1474 nt
Filed under: uncultured Bordetella sp.
Lineage: Bacteria; Pseudomonadati; Pseudomonadota; Betaproteobacteria; Burkholderiales; Alcaligenaceae
Description: partial 16S-23S ribosomal RNA intergenic spacer
Rfam family: Bacterial small subunit ribosomal RNA
Source: RNAcentral